CCUACGGGUGGCAGCAGUGGGGAAUAUUGCACAAUGGGGGAAACCCUGAUGCAGCGACGCCGCGUGAGCGAUGAAGUAUCUCGGUAUGUAAAGCUCUAUCAGCAGGGAAGAAAGUGACAGUACCUGACUAAGAAGCCCCGGCUAACUACGUGCCAGCAGCCGCGGUAAUACGUAGGGGGCAAGCGUUAUCCGGAUUCACUGGGCGUAAAGGGAGCGCAGGCGGCACGGCAAGUCUGGUGUGAAAACCCGGGGCUCAACCCCGGGACUGCAUUGGAAACUGCCGGGCUGGAGUGUCGGAGGGGUAAGCGGAAUUCCUAGUGUAGCGGUGAAAUGCGUAGAUAUUAGGAGGAACACCAGUGGCGAAGGCGGCUUACUGGACGAUGACUGACGCUGAGGCUCGAAAGCGUGGGGAGCAAACAGGAUUAGAUACCCCUGUAGUC
Molecule: ribosomal RNA, 440 nt
Filed under: Salmonella enterica subsp. enterica serovar Goldcoast
Lineage: Bacteria; Pseudomonadati; Pseudomonadota; Gammaproteobacteria; Enterobacterales; Enterobacteriaceae
Description: bacterial SSU rRNA
Rfam family: Bacterial small subunit ribosomal RNA
Source: RNAcentral